Molecule: ribosomal RNA, 253 nt
Filed under: uncultured bacterium
Lineage: Bacteria
Description: partial 16S ribosomal RNA
Rfam family: Bacterial small subunit ribosomal RNA
Source: RNAcentral
UACGUAGGGACCGAGCGUUGUCCGGAAUCAUUGGGCGUAAAGCGCGUGUAGGCGGCUCGGUAAGUCUGCUGUGAAAGUCCAGGGCUCAACCCUGGAAAGCCGGUGGAAACUGUCGAGCUAGAGUCCGGAAGAGGCGAGUGGAAUUCCUGGUGUAGCGGUGAAAUGCGCAGAUAUCAGGAGGAACACCAAUGGCGAAGGCAGCGCGCUGGGACGGUACUGACGCUGAGACGCGAAAGCGUGGGGAGCAAACAGG